GCACCUCUUUCCUAUUCCUUGCUGUGCAGUGCAGGUCUGGGGACAGUUGGUGCUACAGCACAGCAGCAGAAACCCAGAUGCGCUAUUUUCCCCUGGUUUGGAACUCAUUGCUACACCUUCGCAGCAUUU
This is a small nucleolar RNA of Cuculus canorus (common cuckoo), 129 nucleotides long. RefSeq annotates it as small nucleolar RNA SNORA55. Lineage: Eukaryota; Metazoa; Chordata; Aves; Cuculiformes; Cuculidae. The record is from RefSeq and is a predicted model, not a curated record. The transcript has a single exon.